AAAAGUCGUAACAAGGUAACCGUAGGUGAACCUGCGGUUGGAUCAUUAAAAAAUCUAAACCAUUUGUUAGAGAGUCUAACUCUCUAUCAAAACACUUUGUGAACUUUAAUUGUUGAAUUGAUUAGACUUCAUUGUCUAAUCAGUUUGUAUAUAAACAUUUUAUUCAUUUUUAGUUGGUCAAUUUUAAUAUUUAAUUAAAAACAACUUUUGACAACGGAUCUCUUGGCUCUC
This 231-nucleotide unclassified non-coding RNA is filed under the name fungal sp. RNAcentral's name for it is "partial internal transcribed spacer region". The stretch from base 1 to 48 matches the Rfam family "Eukaryotic small subunit ribosomal RNA", at positions 1784 to 1831 of the family's 1831-position model. The record is from RNAcentral. Lineage: Eukaryota; Fungi.